GAGAACCACUUAAGCUCUAUUGUCUUAGCAAAUUUCAAUUAUAUAAUAGUGUUAUCAGCUAUGGUGACCAUGUUAUACAUCAGGUACUCAGACCUUAUUCAUCUUAUAAUUGAAAGUGUUUGUACCAUUAAAAGCUUGGAGAAGUACCAACCUCUCCCGAUUUCCCUAUCCCAGCCCCUAGCAACUACUUUCUACCCUCUGUUUCUAUGGGCUUGACUUAAAAAAAAAAAAAAAAGAAGUGUGGUUUUAAGUCUCUAAGUUUUGGGGUGGUUUAUUAGGUAGCAAUGGGUAAACAGAACAAGGACAUUUUCAUUUAUUUUAAAUACAUUUACAGCAUUUUGUCAAUGUUAGUGUAAUUCCAAAUUAAAUCAUUGGCCACAAUCAAGCACUGUAACCAGCAUAAGUAUUUUACAUAUCUGUUCUUCCAGCUUUUCCCUAAAAGUUGGCUAAACAUGGCUAAAAUCAUAAAAUCAUUUUCCCUUUUGUCAUUUUAAAUGGACUAGACAGUAUUCCACAGAAUUCUCCUAAUCCUUUUAAAAUGGGAUUUAUAUUUGUCUAAGCACAACAGGGUCCACACUGUCACUCUCCCUUGCUGGGGCGGAGCCCUUGGAAGCACACAGCACAAACAACAGUUGACCACUUAAGUGCUGAUAGUAUAUGAUGAACAUGAAGAGGACCAAGACUGCUUAAGUGCUGAUAGUAUAUGAUGAACAUGAAGAGGACCAAGACCACUUUAGUGCUGAUAGUAUAUGAUGAACAUGAAGAGGACCAAGACUGCUUCUGCCCUCAACCCUUCCUCUUUGAGCCAGUCCUUAGAAGGGACUAAUGAGAAAGUUAUAAAACUUGGAGGAGUUAGAAGGUGACUUUGGAGAACUAAGAGGGGCUAGAGGUGGAACAAGAGAAAAGAAAGCAAGAUUAAUAUUUGCCCUAAGAUUCUGAGAGGCAAAGGGGACUAUUAUGUUUCCUUCUGGGUGGUCCACUCCUUUGAAGACCCCAGGAGAGGUGCAGGAUUGCAGGGUAUAAGUUGUGCCUAUAAAUAAAGAUGUUGGAUUUGAUGGA
Odocoileus virginianus texanus is the source of this 1059-nucleotide non-coding RNA. NCBI's taxonomy places the organism in Eukaryota, Metazoa, Chordata, Mammalia, Artiodactyla, Cervidae. The record is from RefSeq and is a predicted model, not a curated record.